CACGUAGGGCGCAAGCGUUGUCCGGAAUUACUGGGCGUAAAGCGUGCGCAGGCGGUUGUGUAAGACAGAUGUGAAAUCCCCGGGCUCAACCUGGGAACUGCAUUUGUGACUGCACGGCUGGAGUGCGGCAGAGGGGGAUGGAAUUCCGCGUGUAGCAGUGAAAUGCGUAGAUAUGCGGAGGAACACCGAUGGCGAAGGCAAUCCCCUGGGCCUGCACUGACGCUCAUGCACGAAAGCGUGGGGAGCAAACAGG
RNAcentral lists this ribosomal RNA (253 nucleotides) under uncultured bacterium. Its description in RNAcentral is "partial 16S ribosomal RNA". It matches the Rfam family "Bacterial small subunit ribosomal RNA", at positions 524 to 776 of the family's 1533-position model. The record is from RNAcentral.